AGUGUAUGUAUCUAUAUGACAAAAUAUAUGGAUUCAGAGUACUUUUAUAUGAAAAAAUUGCAAAAAAGGCUACUUCCGGUUUUCUCAAGGUCAUUUCCGGUAGUCAUUUUUCAAGGUCAUUUGUCACGUAACCUUUUGUACAAGGUCAAAUACCUUUAUAAUGAACUUAGUUAAAGUCAUAAUCAAAUAACCUCAUAUCAAGACAUUUCAGGGGCACCAACUGAUAUAAGAUGCCAUUAAAUUGUAUAAGACCAAAUUUAGCAUAUCUUUAUUACAAUAGCGCAGACA
Molecule: long non-coding RNA, 288 nt
Filed under: Mytilus galloprovincialis (Mediterranean mussel)
Lineage: Eukaryota; Metazoa; Mollusca; Bivalvia; Mytilida; Mytilidae
Source: RNAcentral